GUUUUGUGGGUGUUGAAUGCAGGCAAAGAUCGUCGGUAGAACUAACUGUUUAUACCAUUCAUUGCAGUUCCUCGAGUCGAGGCCGAGGCACGAGGUAGAAUAAACUGUCAAAUCAGCAAAUUCAACUUUUAUAAUACCAGAUAACUAGAAGAAGAGCUAAGAUGGAUGCAGUUGGAAACUUGAUCGUGUACUCUUUGGCAAUGAUUGUCCUGCCUGUUGGAGGGUUCUUUGGCUCAAAGGCUGUCCUGUUUGAAACAGUGCUUGGAUACAGUGAUGGCUCAGUGGGAGGUGCAAUAAUUGCAGUGAUUCUGAUUCACCUCGUUAUAGCCAUGUUUGUGUACAAGGCAUGGAGUGAGGGACAGAGCCCAACACCAAUCAAACAGGACUAGUCUAUCUCUGUGUGUGCAGAUUAUGUUAGGAGCUAUAGCACCUCUUUACUUCGUUCUCCCUUUCAUUGUAAUUCACUUGUGGUUUUGUAUAUAUUGAGCAAAGCAACAAAGGAAUACACCGUGUUAAUUAA
Long non-coding RNA from Halichondria panicea, 520 nucleotides. RefSeq lists it as uncharacterized. The transcript has 2 exons. The record is from RefSeq and is a predicted model, not a curated record. Lineage: Eukaryota; Metazoa; Porifera; Demospongiae; Suberitida; Halichondriidae.